GUGCUAAUCUGCGAUAAGCGCCGGUAAGGUGAUAUGAACCGUUAUAACCGGCGAUACCCGAAUGGGGAAACCCAGUGUGAUUCGUCACACUAUCAUUAACUGAAUCCAUAGGUUAAUGAGGCGAACCGGGGGAACUGAAACAUCUAAGUACCCCGAGGAAAAGAAAUCAACCGAGAUUCCCCCAGUAGCGGCGAGCGAACGGGGAGGAGCCCAGAGCCUGAAUCAGCAUGUGUGUUAGUGGAAGCGUCUGGAAAGGCGCGCGAUACAGGGUGACAGCCCCGUACACAAAAGCGCAUGUGCUGUGAGCUCGAUGAGUAGGGCGGGACACGUGGUAUCCUGUCUGAAUAUGGGGGGACCAUCCUCCAAGGCUAAAUACUCCUGACUGACCGAUAGUGAACCAGUACCGUGAGGGAAAGGCGAAAAGAACCCCGGCGAGGGGAGUGAAAAAGAACCUGAAACCGUGUACGUACAAGCAGUGGGAGCACCCUUCGGGG
This 494-nucleotide ribosomal RNA is filed under the name Salmonella enterica subsp. enterica serovar Typhimurium. Its description in RNAcentral is "partial 23S ribosomal RNA". It matches the Rfam family "Bacterial large subunit ribosomal RNA", at positions 58 to 591 of the family's 2925-position model. Lineage: Bacteria; Pseudomonadati; Pseudomonadota; Gammaproteobacteria; Enterobacterales; Enterobacteriaceae. The record is from RNAcentral.